ACAGAGGUGGCAAGCGUUGUUCGGAAUUACUGGGCGUAAAGGGUGCGUAGGCGGUUGUUUAAGUCUGCCGUGAAAUCCCCGGGCUCAACCUGGGAAUGGCGGUGGAUACUGGGCAGCUAGAGUGUGUCAGAGGAUGGUGGAAUUCCCGGUGUAGCGGUGAAAUGCGUAGAGAUCGGGAGGAACAUCAGUGGCGAAGGCGGCCAUCUGGGACAACACUGACGCUGAAGCACGAAAGCGUGGGGAGCAAACAGGA
This 253-nucleotide ribosomal RNA is filed under the name uncultured prokaryote. Its description in RNAcentral is "partial 16S ribosomal RNA". It matches the Rfam family "Bacterial small subunit ribosomal RNA", at positions 525 to 777 of the family's 1533-position model. The record is from RNAcentral.